Molecule: long non-coding RNA, 2373 nt
Filed under: Canis lupus familiaris (dog)
Lineage: Eukaryota; Metazoa; Chordata; Mammalia; Carnivora; Canidae
Description: lncRNA (ENSCAFG00845004802.1)
Source: RNAcentral
UGUUUUACGGGUGUUGAACCAGCCUUGUGUCCCGGGAAUAAAUCCUACUUGGUCAUGGUGAAUAAUUGUCUUAAUGUACUGUUGGAUCCUAUUGGCUAGUAUCUUGGUGAGAAUUUUUGCAUCCACGUUCAUCAGGGAUAUUGGUCUAUAAUUCUCCUUUUUGGUGGGGUCUUUGUCUGGUUUUGGAAUUAAGGUGAUGCUGGCCUCAUAGAACAAAUUUGGAAGUACUCCAUCUCUUUCUAUCUUUCCAAACAGCUUUAGUAGAAUAGGUAUGAUUUCUUCUUUAAACGUUUGAUAGAAUUCCCCUGGGAAGCCAUCUGGCCUUGGACUUUUGUGUUUUGGGAGGUUUUUGAUGACUGCUUCAAUUUCCUCCCUGGUUAUUGGCCUGUUCAUGUUUUCUAUUUCUUCCUGUUCCAGUUUUGGUAGUUUCUGGCUUCCCAGGAAUGUGUCCAUUUCUUCUAGAUUGCCUAAUUUAUUGGCGUAUAGCUGCUCAUAAUAUGUUUUUAAAAUCUUUUGUAUUUCCUUGGUGUUGGUAGUGAUCUCUCCUUUCUCAUUCAUGAUUUUAUUAAUUUGAGUCUUCUCUCUCUUCAUCUUAAUAAGGCUGGCUAAUGGUUUAUCUAUCUUAUUAAUUCUUUCAAAGAACCAACUCCUGGUUUUGUUGAUCUGUUCCACCGUCCUUCUGGUCUUGAUUUCAUUGAGUUCUGCUCGAAUCUUAAUUAACUCUCUCCUUCUGCUGGGUGUAGGAUCUAUUUGCUGUUUUUUCUCUAGCUCCUUUACAUGUAAGGUUAGCUUUUGUAUUUGAGUUCUUUCCAGUUUUUGAAUGGAUGCUUGUAUUGCGAUGUAUUUCCGCCUUAGGACUGCUUUUGCUGCAUCCCAAAGAUUUUGAAUGGUUGUAUCUUCAUUCUCAUUAGUUUCCAUGAAUCCUUUUAAUUCUUCCUUAAUUUCCUGGUUGACCCUUUCAUCUUUUAGCAGGAUGGUCCUUAACCUCCACGUGUUUGAGGUCCUUCCAAACUUCUUAUUGUGAUUUAGUUCUAAUUUCAAGGCAUUAUGGUCUGAUAAUAUGCAGGGGACGAUCCCAAUCUUUUGGUAUCGGUUCAGACCCGAUUUGUGACCCAGUAUGUGAUCUAUUCUGGAGAAAGUUCCAUGUGUACUUGAGAAGAAUGUGUAUUGAGUUGAGUUUGGAUGUAAAGUUCUGUAGAUAUCUGUGAAAUGCAUCUGGUCCAGUGUAUCAUUUAAAGCUCUCGUUUCUUCGGAGAUGUUGUGCUUAGAAGACCUAUCAAGUAUAGAAAGAGCUAGAUUGAAGUCACCAAGUAUAAGUGUAUUAUUAUCUAAGUAUUUCUUCACUUUGGUUAAUAAUUGAUUUAUAUAUUUGGCAGCUCCCACAUUCGGGGAAUAUAUAUUGAGGAUUGUUAAGUCCUCUUGUUGGAUAGGUCCUUUAAGUAUGAUAUAGUGUCCUUCUUCAUCUCUCACUACAGUCUUCAGGGUAAAUUUUAGUUUAUCUGAUAUAAGGAUGGCUACCCCUGCUUUCUUUUGAGAACCAUUUGAAUAGUAAAUGGUUCUCCAACCUUUUAUUUUCAGGCUGUAGGUGUCCUUCUGUCUAAAAUGAGUCUCUUGUAGAUAGCAAAUAGAUGGGUCCUGCUUUUUUAUCCAGUCUGAAACCCUGUGCCUUUUGAUGGGGUCAUUAAGCCCGUUCACGUUCAGAGUUACUAUUGACAGAUAUGAGUUUAGUGUCAUCAUGAUAUAUAUUCAGUCCUUGUUUUUGUGGAUUGUUCCACUGAACUUCUUCUUAAAGGGGAAUUUUAAGAGUCCCCCUUAAAAUUUCUUGCAGAGCUGGUUUGGAGGUCACAUAUUCUUUCAGUUCCUGCCUGUCUUGGAAGCUCUUUAUCUCUCCUUCCAUUUUGAAUGAGAGCCUUGCUGGAUAAAGUAUUCUUGGUUGCAUGUCCUUCUCAUUUAGGACCUUGAAUAGAUCCUGCCAGCCUUUUCUGGCCUGCCAGGUCUCUGUGGAGAGGUCUGCUCUUACCCUAAUACUCCUCCCCAUAAAGGUCAGGGAUUUCUUGUCUCUUGCUGCUUUAAGGAUCUUCUCUUUAUCUUUGGAAUUUGCAAGCUUCACUGUUAAAUGUCGAGGUGUUGAAUGGUUUUUAUUGAUUUUAGGGGGGGAUCUCUCUAUUUCCUGGAUCUGAAUGCCUGUUUCCCUUCCCAGAUUAGGAAAGUUUUCAGCUAUGAUUUGUUCAAAUACAUAUUCUGGCCCUCUGGCCCUUUUGGCACCCUCGGGAACCCCAAUUAAACGUAGGUUUUUCUUCCUCAGGCUGUCGUUUAUUUCCCUUAAUCUAUCCUCAUGGCCUUUUAAUCGUUUGUCUCUUUUUUCCUCAGUUU